This 253-nucleotide ribosomal RNA is filed under the name uncultured microorganism. RNAcentral's name for it is "partial 16S ribosomal RNA". It matches the Rfam family "Bacterial small subunit ribosomal RNA", at positions 524 to 776 of the family's 1533-position model. The record is from RNAcentral.
UACGUAGGGUGCGAGCGUUAAUCGGAUUUACUGGGCGUAAAGCGUGCGCAGGCGGCCCGUUAAGACAGGUGUGAAAUCCCUGGGCUCAACCUAGGAAUUGCGCUUGUGACUGGCGGGCUCGAGUACGGUAGAGGAGAGUGGAAUUCCAUGUGUAGCGGUGAAAUGCGUAGAGAUCAGGAGGAACACCGAUGGCGAAGGCAGCCCCCUGGGCCUGUACUGACGCUCAUGCACGAAAGCGUGGGGAGCAAACAGG